RNAcentral lists this ribosomal RNA (253 nucleotides) under uncultured bacterium. Its description in RNAcentral is "partial 16S ribosomal RNA". It matches the Rfam family "Bacterial small subunit ribosomal RNA", at positions 524 to 776 of the family's 1533-position model. The record is from RNAcentral.
UACGUAGGGGGCAAGCGUUGUCCGGAAUUAUUGGGCGUAAAGCGCGUGUAGGCGGCUCGGUAAGUCUGCUGUGAAAGUCCAGGGCUCAACCCUGGAAUGCCGGUGGAUACUGUCGAGCUAGAGUCCGGAAGAGGCGAGUGGAAUUCCUGGUGUAGCGGUGAAAUGCGCAGAUAUCAGGAGGAACACCAAUGGCGAAGGCAGCUCGCUGGGACGGUACUGACGCUGAGACGCGAAAGCGUGGGGAGCGAACAGG